UCUAUUACCCUUCAUUAGUUAUCUAUUUCUUUAUUUGAUUUAUUUUUUUCCGGUAAAUAUUUUUCUUAACUAUUACUACUUUUUCCAUCCCCAUAGAUAUAUCAUCAUCUUUACCAUCGUAUCAUCACCAUGGCCACCUCCAUAGUUUUUCUGUAUAUCCACGAUCACAAUUUAAUCAUGACCGUUGCUUCGUAACCACAGUCACCGCUCUGGUAACCGCCACCACUGCUGUAACCACCACCGCCACAAGAUAUUCUACCGUUGCUUAACCACUACAUCUUCCUCUGUAACAACCACACCUCUUUCGUAAUCACCAUCAACUCCUUCAGGACCA
This 334-nucleotide long non-coding RNA is filed under the name Brassica napus (rape). Its description in RNAcentral is "long non-coding RNA (BNAP_LNC021367)". Lineage: Eukaryota; Viridiplantae; Streptophyta; Magnoliopsida; Brassicales; Brassicaceae. The record is from RNAcentral.